This 429-nucleotide ribosomal RNA is filed under the name uncultured archaeon. Its description in RNAcentral is "bacterial SSU rRNA". It matches the Rfam family "Archaeal small subunit ribosomal RNA", at positions 474 to 903 of the family's 1478-position model. The record is from RNAcentral.
UACCUGCAGCUCGAGUGGUAACCGUUAUUAUUGGGCCUAAAGCGUCCGUAGCCGGUUUGGUAAAUAUCUGGGUAAAUCGUGAGGCUUAACUUCACGAAUUUCGGAUAGACUGCCAGACUUGGGAUCGGGGGAGGUCAGAGGUACUCCAGGGGUAGCGGUGAAAUGUUGUAAUCCUUGGAGGACUACCGGUAGCGAAGGCGUCUGACUAGAACGAGUCCGACGGUGAGGGACGAAGCCCUGGGGCGCAAACCGGAUUAGAUACCCGGGUAGUCCAGGGUGUAAACUAUGUGGGCUUUGUAUUGGAGGUCCCACGUGGGCGUCCAGUGCAGAAGAGAAGUUGUUAAGCCCACCGCCUGGGAAGUACGGUCGCAAGGCUGAAACUUAAAGGAAUUGGCGGGGGAGCACAGCAACGGGAGGAGCGUGCGGUUU